This 103-nucleotide signal recognition particle RNA is filed under the name Leuconostoc gasicomitatum. Its description in RNAcentral is "Leuconostoc gelidum subsp. gasicomitatum SRP_bact". The stretch from base 8 to 95 matches the Rfam family "Bacterial small signal recognition particle RNA". From Rfam's summary of the family: The signal recognition particle (SRP) is a universally conserved ribonucleoprotein involved in the co-translational targeting of proteins to membranes. Archaeal SRP consists of a 7S RNA and homologues of the eukaryotic SRP19 and SRP54 proteins. In most bacteria, the SRP consists of a 4.5S RNA and the Ffh protein (a homologue of the eukaryotic SRP54 protein). The record is from RNAcentral. Lineage: Bacteria; Bacillati; Bacillota; Bacilli; Lactobacillales; Lactobacillaceae.
AUAAUGAUAAGGCAGGCAAGUGUUGGCUCUCGAACUGGGUCAGGACAGGAAUGUAGCAGCUCUAAGGUUGUUCAAUACUGUGCUUGUGUACAUAUUUGACCGC